This 321-nucleotide unclassified non-coding RNA is filed under the name Acidovorax soli. RNAcentral's name for it is "Long range pseudoknot". The record is from RNAcentral. Lineage: Bacteria; Pseudomonadati; Pseudomonadota; Betaproteobacteria; Burkholderiales; Comamonadaceae.
ACGGACGAUGGCGACUACAACAUCAAGAUGCGCAACAUCCGCCGCUUUCUGGCGGACGGCGACAAGUGCAAGAUCACGCUGCGGUUCCGUGGCCGUGAAAUCACGCACCAGGAAUUGGGCUUGGCCUUGCUGAACCGCAUCCGCGACGAGCUGGCAGAUUCCAUCAUCAUCGAGCAGUUUCCCAAACUGGAAGGCCGCCAGAUGAUCAUGAUGAUCGCCCCGGGCAAGAAGAAGCCUGCGGCCAAGCCGGUGGCGGAAGCUGCUCCGGCGUCUGGCACUUCGGCCUGAAUGGAUUGGAGAAUUUGAGCGCUGCAACCGCAA